Molecule: ribosomal RNA, 468 nt
Filed under: uncultured bacterium
Lineage: Bacteria
Description: partial 16S ribosomal RNA
Rfam family: Bacterial small subunit ribosomal RNA
Source: RNAcentral
GACGAACGCUGGCGGCGUGCUUAACACAUGCAAGUCGAACGGAAAGGCCCUGCUUUUGUGGGGUGCUCGAGUGGCGAACGGGUGAGUAACACGUGAGUAACCUGCCCCUGACUUUGGGAUAACUUCAGGAAACUGGGGCUAAUACCGGAUAGGAGCUCCUGCUGCAUGGUGGGGGUUGGAAAGUUUGGGCGGUUGGGGAUGGACUCGCGGCUUAUCAGCUUGUUGGUGGGGUAGUGGCUUACCAAGGCUUUGACGGGUAGCCGGCCUGAGAGGGUGACCGGCCACAUUGGGACUGAGAUACGGCCCAGACUCCUACGGGAGGCAGCAGUGGGGAAUAUUGCACAAUGGGCGGAAGCCUGAUGCAGCAACGCCGCGUGCGGGAUGACGGCCUUCGGGUUGUAAACCGCUUUCGCCUGUGACGAAGCGUGAGUGACGGUAAUGGGUAAAGAAGCACCGGCUAACUACGUG